Molecule: ribosomal RNA, 497 nt
Filed under: uncultured bacterium
Lineage: Bacteria
Description: partial 16S ribosomal RNA
Rfam family: Bacterial small subunit ribosomal RNA
Source: RNAcentral
GAUGAACGCUGGCGGCGUGCCUAAUACAUGCAAGUCGAGCGAACAGACGAGGAGCUUGCUCCUCUGACGUUAGCGGCGGACGGGUGAGUAACACGUGGAUAACCUACCUAUAAGACUGGGAUAACUUCGGGAAACCGGAGCUAAUACCGGAUAAUACAUUGAACCGCAUGGUUCAAUAGUGAAAGACGGUUUUGCUGUCACUUAUAGAUGGAUCCGCGCCGCAUUAGCUAGUUGGUAAGGUAACGGCUUACCAAGGCAACGAUGCGUAGCCGACCUGAGAGGGUGAUCGGCCACACUGGAACUGAGACACGGUCCAGACUCCUACGGGAGGCAGCAGUAGGGAAUCUUCCGCAAUGGGCGAAAGCCUGACGGAGCAACGCCGCGUGAGUGAUGAAGGUCUUCGGAUCGUAAAACUCUGUUAUUAGGGAAGAACAAAUGUGUGAGUAACUAUGCACGUCUUGACGGUACCUAAUCAGAAAGCCACGGCUAACUACGUG